Mobula hypostoma (lesser devil ray) is the source of this 387-nucleotide long non-coding RNA. RefSeq lists it as uncharacterized. NCBI's taxonomy places the organism in Eukaryota, Metazoa, Chordata, Chondrichthyes, Myliobatiformes, Myliobatidae. The transcript is spliced from 3 exons. The record is from RefSeq and is a predicted model, not a curated record.
UGAAGAACAAACCAUCCAGCGCUUAAUGUUGCUUAUUUAUUUAUUUAGUGAAACUAGGUGGACUAGGCCCUUAGACGUAUGCCAAUCCAGCAACCCCUGACAAACCUCUACGAAAAGGUGAUUCUCGCAGAUACUGUCUGACCAGUUGAAUAUUUCUAAAGUCCAGCAGAUUAUAAUGAAACAGACUCAGUGGUUUCAAUGUUUCCAAGAUUUUGCUGGCUCUUAUCUUGCCAUCCUGAUGGUCGUAAUGAGAAGAGGGCAUCUCCAGGGUGAUGCAGGUCUAAGGUACAGGUCCAAAAGAAUCUAAAACUCCACAAGACUGCCUGCUUCCACUAUUUUGAGAUGCAGAGCACAUCAGUUCCUGGAGAUCUGGAAUAAAAUAGCAAU